GAUUACUCCACUAACACUAUUAACAAAUAAAACAAAAGAGGGAUUCCAACAAUCAGAACAAAGGCUUUUUAUUUGUUAUUUUUACUACAAUGGGCGGGACAAAGGAUCGCGAUCUCGUGAGGGUGAGCUAACUCCAAAAAUCUGUCCUCGGUUCGGAUUGUAGGUUGCAACUCGUUUGCAUGAAGUAGGAAUCGCUAGUAAUCACCGGUUAGCCAUACGGUGGUGAAUCCGUUCGUGGGUCUUUGUACACAACGCCUGUCACACUAUAGAAGUUGACUAUGUUUGAACUCAUUAACCUUAGUCGUAAGAAGGAAGAUGCCUAAGGCUAGGCCUUUAACUAGAGUGAAGUCGUAACAAGGUAGGGCAUGCUUG
RNAcentral lists this non-coding RNA (372 nucleotides) under Oryza meridionalis. Its description in RNAcentral is "Bacterial small subunit ribosomal RNA". It matches the Rfam family "Bacterial small subunit ribosomal RNA", at positions 955 to 1533 of the family's 1533-position model. Lineage: Eukaryota; Viridiplantae; Streptophyta; Magnoliopsida; Poales; Poaceae. The record is from Rfam by way of RNAcentral.